GAUGAACGCUGGCGGCGUGCUUAACACAUGCAAGUCGAACGGAAAGGCCCAAGCUUGCUUGGGUGCUCGAGUGGCGAACGGGUGAGUAACACGUGGGUGAUCUGCCCUGCACUUUGGGAUAAGCCUGGGAAACUGGGUCUAAUACCGGAUAGGACCAUCGUUUAGUGUCGGUGGUGGAAAGUUUUUCGGUGUGGGAUGAGCUCGCGGCCUAUCAGCUUGUUGGUGGGGUAAUGGCCUACCAAGGCGUCGACGGGUAGCCGGCCUGAGAGGGUGUACGGCCACAUUGGGACUGAGAUACGGCCCAGACUCCUACGGGAGGCAGCAGUGGGGAAUAUUGCACAAUGGGCGCGAGCCCGAUGCAGCGACGCCGCGUGGGGGAUGACGGCCUUCGGGUUGUAAACUCCUUUCGCCAAGGACGAAGCGUUUUGUGACGGUACUUGGAGAAGAAGCACCGGCUAACUACGUG
Molecule: ribosomal RNA, 466 nt
Filed under: uncultured bacterium
Lineage: Bacteria
Description: partial 16S ribosomal RNA
Rfam family: Bacterial small subunit ribosomal RNA
Source: RNAcentral